AACGAACGCUGGCGGCAUGCCUAACACAUGCAAGUCGAACGAGACCUUCGGGUCUAGUGGCGCACGGGUGCGUAACGCGUGGGAACCUGCCUUUAGGUUCGGAAUAACUCAGAGAAAUUUGAGCUAAUACCGGAUAAUGUCUUCGGACCAAAGAUUUAUCGCCUUUAGAUGGGCCCGCGUUGGAUUAGCUAGUUGGUGGGGUAAAGCCUACCAAGGCGACGAUCCAUAGCUGGUCUGAGAGGAUGAUCAGCCACACUGGGACUGAGACACGGCCCAGACUCCUACGGGAGGCAGCAGUGGGGAAUAUUGGACAAUGGGCGAAAGCCUGAUCCAGCAAUGCCGCGUGAGUGAUGAAGGCCUUAGGGUUGUAAAGCUCUUUUACCCGAGAUGAUAAUGACAGUAUCGGGAGAAUAAGCUCCGGCUAACUCCGUGCCAGCAGCCGCGGUAAUGUG
RNAcentral lists this ribosomal RNA (452 nucleotides) under uncultured bacterium. Its description in RNAcentral is "bacterial SSU rRNA". It matches the Rfam family "Bacterial small subunit ribosomal RNA", at positions 29 to 527 of the family's 1533-position model. The record is from RNAcentral.